GACGAACGCUGGCGGCGUGCUUAACACAUGCAAGUCGAACGGAAAGGCCCUGCUUUUGUGGGGUGCUCGAGUGGCGAACGGGUGAGUAACACGUGAGUAACCUGCCCUUGACUUUGGGAUAACUUCAGGAAACUGGGGCUAAUACCGGAUAGGAGCUCCUGCUGCAUGGUGGGGGUUGGAAAGUUUCGGCGGUUGGGGAUGGACUCGCGGCUUAUCAGCUUGUUGGUGGGGUAGUGGCUUACCAAGGCUUUGACGGGUAGCCGGCCUGAGAGGGUGACCGGCCACAUUGGGCCUGCGAUACGGCCCAGACUCCUACGGGAGGCAGCGGUGGGGAAUAUUGCACAAUGGGCGGAAGCCUGAUGCAACAACGCCGCGUGCGGGAUGACGGCCUUCGGGUUGUAAACCGCUUUCGCCUGUGACGAAGCGUGAGUGACGGUAAUGGGUAAAGAAGCACCGGCUAACUACGUG
RNAcentral lists this ribosomal RNA (468 nucleotides) under uncultured bacterium. RNAcentral describes it as "partial 16S ribosomal RNA". It matches the Rfam family "Bacterial small subunit ribosomal RNA", at positions 28 to 507 of the family's 1533-position model. The record is from RNAcentral.